GACGAACGCUGGCGGCGUGCUUAAUACAUGCAAGUCGAGCGAGGUUACUGUUUCGGAUCCCUUCGGGGUGAAGAAGCUUUAACCUAGCGGCGGACGGGUGAGUAACGCGUGGGUAACCUACCCCAAAGUCCGGGAUAACAGCGGGAAACCGCUGCUAAUACCGGAUGUCUUUACCUUGGGGCAUCUUGAGGUAAAGAAAGGUAACGCUUUGGGAUGGGCCCGCGUCCCAUUAGCUAGUUGGUGAGGUAACGGCUCACCAAGGCGACGAUGGGUAGCCGGCCUGAGAGGGUGGACGGCCACACUGGGACUGAGACACGGCCCAGACUCCUACGGGAGGCAGCAGUAGGGAAUAUUGCGCAAUGGACGGAAGUCUGACGCAGCGACGCCGCGUGAGCGAUGAAGGCCUUCGGAUCGUAAAGCUCUGUCCUUGGGGAAGAAGGCGAAAGCUUGACGGUACCCAAGAAGAAAGCCCGGCUAACUACGUG
This 485-nucleotide ribosomal RNA is filed under the name uncultured bacterium. RNAcentral describes it as "bacterial SSU rRNA". It matches the Rfam family "Bacterial small subunit ribosomal RNA", at positions 28 to 507 of the family's 1533-position model. The record is from RNAcentral.